RNAcentral lists this ribosomal RNA (428 nucleotides) under uncultured prokaryote. Its description in RNAcentral is "bacterial SSU rRNA". It matches the Rfam family "Bacterial small subunit ribosomal RNA", at positions 355 to 774 of the family's 1533-position model. The record is from RNAcentral.
UGGGGAAUAUUGCACAAUGGGGGAAACCCUGACGCAGCAACGCCGCGUGAGUGAGGAAGGUUUUCGAAUCGUAAAGCUCUGUCAGGUGGAAAGAAAUGCAUGGAAGUUAAUAGCUUCCAUGCUUGACGGUACCACCAGAGGAAGCACCGGCUAACUCCGUGCCAGCAGCCGCGGUAAUACGGAGGAUGCGAGCGUUAUCCGGAUUUAUUGGGUUUAAAGGGCAGGUAGGCGGAUCAGUAAGUCGGACGUUUAAUCCUCGGUCUUAAGCUGAGACAUGCGUUUGAUACUGUUGAUCUAGAAUGCGGCGGGGGAAGACGGAAUUCCGGGUGUAGCGGUGGAAUGCGCAGAUAUCCGGAGGAACACCGGUGGCGAAGGCGGCUUCCUGGACCAAUACUGACGCUGAGGCGCGAAGGCGUGGGGAGCAAACA